UGGCGGAAUAUUGCACAAUGGGCGGAAGCCUGAUGCAGCAACGCCGCGUGAGGGAUGACGGCCUUCGGGUUGUAAACCUCUUUUAGCAGGGAAGAAGCGAAAGUGACGGUACCUGCAGAAAAAGCACCGGCUAACUACGUGCCAGCAGCCGCGGUAAUUA
Molecule: ribosomal RNA, 160 nt
Filed under: uncultured bacterium
Lineage: Bacteria
Description: partial 16S ribosomal RNA
Rfam family: Bacterial small subunit ribosomal RNA
Source: RNAcentral